Unclassified non-coding RNA from Pongo abelii (Sumatran orangutan), 148 nucleotides. It matches the Rfam family "Metazoan signal recognition particle RNA". Rfam says of the family: The signal recognition particle (SRP) is a universally conserved ribonucleoprotein. It is involved in the co-translational targeting of proteins to membranes. The record is from Ensembl. NCBI's taxonomy places the organism in Eukaryota, Metazoa, Chordata, Mammalia, Primates, Hominidae.
GCCGGGCAUGGUGGCGUGCGCCUGUAAUCCCAGUUACUCAGGAGGCUGAGGCAGGAGAAUCGCUUGAACCCAGGAGUCGGAGGUUGCAGUGAGCCAAGAUCGCGCUACUGCACUCGAGCCUGGGUGACAAAGCGAGACUCUGUCUCAA